This 790-nucleotide ribosomal RNA is filed under the name uncultured bacterium. Its description in RNAcentral is "bacterial SSU rRNA". It matches the Rfam family "Bacterial small subunit ribosomal RNA", at positions 88 to 857 of the family's 1533-position model. The record is from RNAcentral.
AGUCGGAGUGGCGCAAGGGUGCGUAACACGUGGGUAAUUUGCCGUAAAGUCUGGGACAACUUGCUGAAAGGCGAGCUAAUACCGGAUGUGAAUUUUGGAAGGCAUCUUCUGAAAUUCAAAGUUGGGGACCGCAAGGCCUGACGCUUUACGAUAAGCCCGCGGCCUAUCAGCUAGUUGGUGAGGUAACGGCUCACCAAGGCUAAGACGGGUAGCUGGUCUGAGAGGACGACCAGCCUCACUGGAACUGAGACACGGUCCAGACACCUACGGGUGGCAGCAGUCGAGAAUUUUUCUCAAUGGGCGAAAGCCUGAAGGAGCGACGCCGCGUGGGGGAUGAAUGGCUUCGGCCCGUAAACCCCUGUCAUUUGCGAACAAAUUGACUCACUUAACACGUGUGUCAUUGAUUGUAGCGGAAGAGGAAGGGACGGCUAACUCUGUGCCAGCAGCCGCGGUAAUACAGAGGUCCCAAGCGUUGUUCGGAUUCACUGGGCGUAAAGGGUGCGUAGGCGGUUUGACAAGUCUGAUGUGAAAUCCCGCAGCUUAACUGCGGAACUGCAUUGGAAACUGUUUGACUAGAGGAAUGGAGGGGAGACUGGAAUACUUGGUGUAGCAGUGAAAUGCGUAGAUAUCAAGUGGAACACCAGUGGCGAAGGCGAGUCUCUGGACAUUUCCUGACGCUGAGGCACGAAAGCCAGGGGAGCAAACGGGAUUAGAUACCCCGGUAGUCCUGGCCCUAAACGGUGCACGUUUGCUGUAAGCGGAAUCGACCCCGCUUGUGGCGUAGUUAACA